AUUGAACGCUGGCGGCAGGCUUAACACAUGCAAGUCGAGCGGUAACAGAGAGAAGCUUGCUUCUCUGCUGACGAGCGGCGGACGGGUGAGUAAUGCCUAGGAAUCUGCCUAGUAGUGGGGGAUAACUUGCCGAAAGGUAAGCUAAUACCGCAUACGUCCUACGGGAGAAAGGAGGGGACCUUCGGGCCUUUCGCUAUUAGAUGAGCCUAGGUCGGAUUAGUUAGUUGGUGAGGUAAUGGCUCACCAAGACCGCGAUCCGUAACUGGUCUGAGAGGAUGAUCAGUCACACUGGAACGGAGACACGGUCCAGACGCCUACGGGAGGCAGCAGGAGGGAAUAUUGGACAAGGGGGGGGAACCCUGAUCCAGCCAUGCCGCGUGUGUGAAGAAGGUCUUAGGAUUGUAAAGAACUUUAAGUUGGGAGGAAGAGCAGUUAACUAAUAUUUGACUGUUUUGACGUUACCGACAGAAUAAGCACCGGCUAACUUCGUG
Molecule: ribosomal RNA, 491 nt
Filed under: uncultured bacterium
Lineage: Bacteria
Description: partial 16S ribosomal RNA
Rfam family: Bacterial small subunit ribosomal RNA
Source: RNAcentral